AUGGCCGAGUGGUCUAAGGCGGCAGGCUCAAGUUCUGGUCCUCUUACAAGGGCAUGGGUUCAAACCCCACUUCUGACAUAUAUUUUUAAUUCCUUUUUUCUUCUUUAUUUCACCAUCUCUAUACUUUUUUUUAAGCUUUCAGACUUUUAUUCCAGCUUAAAGGCAUGUCACAGAGAGCAAUAUGCAGGACUAGACAGACUAACACCUACACAAGUGAAAAAACAAGCUCCAACAUUACGAACGUUGUAA
Molecule: ribosomal RNA, 249 nt
Filed under: Triticum aestivum (bread wheat)
Lineage: Eukaryota; Viridiplantae; Streptophyta; Magnoliopsida; Poales; Poaceae
Description: partial small subunit ribosomal RNA
Rfam family: tRNA (bases 1-78)
Source: RNAcentral